RNAcentral lists this ribosomal RNA (115 nucleotides) under Danio rerio (zebrafish). Lineage: Eukaryota; Metazoa; Chordata; Actinopteri; Cypriniformes; Danionidae. The record is from RNAcentral.
GUCGGCAGCUAGCUCUCUGCAACUCUCACAUGGUCGCCCACUGAAGCUAAGCAGGGCUGCGCCUGGUCAGUACCUGGAUGGGAGACCACAUGGGAAAGCUAGGUUGCUGCUGGAA